UACGUAGGGUGCGAGCGUUAAUCGGAAUUACUGGGCGUAAAGCGUGCGCAGGCGGUCUCGUAAGCUGGGUGUGAAAGCCCCGGGCUUACCCUGGGAAUGGCAUUCAGGACUGCGAGGCUCGAGUGUGGCAGAGGGAGGUGGAAUUCCACGUGUAGCAGUGAAAUGCGUAGAGAUGUGGAGGAACAACGAGGGCGAAGGCAGCCUCCUGGGCCAGCACUGCCGCUCAUGCACGUAAGCGUGGGGAGCAAACAGG
Molecule: ribosomal RNA, 253 nt
Filed under: uncultured bacterium
Lineage: Bacteria
Description: partial 16S ribosomal RNA
Rfam family: Bacterial small subunit ribosomal RNA
Source: RNAcentral